Molecule: long non-coding RNA, 379 nt
Organism: Mastomys coucha (southern multimammate mouse)
Lineage: Eukaryota; Metazoa; Chordata; Mammalia; Rodentia; Muridae
Exons: 4
Source: RefSeq, a predicted model, not a curated record
GCAGAACUGGGUUCGAUUCCCUGCACCCACAUGGAAGUUACAGGCGUUUGCAACUCAUCCUGGGGAUCCGAUGCCCUCUUCUGGACCCCAAAAGCGCUGCAUCCAUUCUGUGUACAGACAUGUCCGCCAACCCUUUGGUUGAUUCUUCAUCUUGGUUCUUGGUUCUUAUGACACAGGUGCUGUUGGACAUCCAUUCAGAACUUCUUGUUUUUAGCAUGUAGAAGUGAGCUGUGGCUGCCCAGAGUGAGGCUCCUGUGUUAGCCAGUACAACCCGCCUUCCCUGUUCAUCCCUUUAUUCCUCCACCCAUGCUUCCUGGGAUCAAGUCCUGAAGUGACUCUGCUCCUCAAUGCCAGCUCUGGGGACUUGAAAUGAACACAA